RNAcentral lists this ribosomal RNA (999 nucleotides) under Gracilibacillus sp. RNAcentral describes it as "bacterial SSU rRNA". It matches the Rfam family "Bacterial small subunit ribosomal RNA", at positions 476 to 1475 of the family's 1533-position model. Lineage: Bacteria; Bacillati; Bacillota; Bacilli; Caryophanales; Bacillaceae. The record is from RNAcentral.
UACCUAUCGAGGAAGCCCCGGCUAACUACGUGCCAGCAGCCGCGGUAAUACGUAGGGGGCAAGCGUUGUCCGGAAUUAUUGGGCGUAAAGCGCGCGUAGGCGGUUUCUUAAGUCUGAUGUGAAAUCUUGCGGCUCAACCGCAAGCGGUCAUUGGAAACUGGGGAACUUGAGUGCAGAAGAGGAGAGCGGAAUUCCACGUGUAGCGGUGAAAUGCGUAGAUAUGUGGAGGAACACCAGUGGCGAAGGCGGCUCUCUGGUCUGUAACUGACGCUGAGGUGCGAAAGCGUGGGGAGCGAACAGGAUUAGAUACCCUGGUAGUCCACGCCGUAAACGAUGAGUGCUAGGUGUUAGGGGGUUUCCGCCCCUUAGUGCUGCAGUUAACGCAAUAAGCACUCCGCCUGGGGAGUACGGCCGCAAGGCUGAAACUCAAAAGAAUUGACGGGGGCCCGCACAAGCGGUGGAGCAUGUGGUUUAAUUCGAAGCAACGCGAAGAACCUUACCAGGUCUUGACAUCUUCGGAUGUCCCUAGAGAUAGGGAGUUCCCUUCGGGGACCGAAUGACAGGUGGUGCAUGGUUGUCGUCAGCUCGUGUCGUGAGAUGUUGGGUUAAGUCCCGCAACGAGCGCAACCCUUGAUCUUAGUUGCCAGCAUUAAGUUGGGCACUCUAAGGUGACUGCCGGUGACAAACCGGAGGAAGGUGGGGAUGACGUCAAAUCAUCAUGCCCCUUAUGACCUGGGCUACACACGUGCUACAAUGGAUGGAACAAAGGGCAGCGAAGCGGCAACGCAUUAGCAAAUCCCAUAAAUCCAUUCUCAGUUCGGAUUGCAGGCUGCAACUCGCCUGUAUGAAGCCGGAAUCGCUAGUAAUCGUGGAUCAGCAUGCCACGGUGAAUACGUUCCCGGGCCUUGUACACACCGCCCGUCACACCACGAGAGUUGGCAACACCCGAAGUCGGUGGGGUAACCUUGGAGCCAGCCGCCGAACUGCGUCCCCAGGCCC